This is a long non-coding RNA of Papaver somniferum (opium poppy), 1091 nucleotides long. RefSeq lists it as uncharacterized. The record is from RefSeq and is a predicted model, not a curated record. The transcript has 3 exons. NCBI's taxonomy places the organism in Eukaryota, Viridiplantae, Streptophyta, Magnoliopsida, Ranunculales, Papaveraceae.
AUCGUUUUUUUCUUUCGUAUCUGUAUUGAGAAAAGAAAAGAAGACCUUCUUCAUCUCAAUUCAGAAUUUGGGGACUUCCUUGAAAGCAUCUCCUUCGUUCUCCUCGAUUAACUUAUCAUAUCACCGAAAGAAAAAUACAGCAAAACGAAGAUUUGGGUUUCUUUUUUCCCCUUGCGAAUAUCCAUGACAAAGGUGGUAGCAGAUGAAUUAGAAAAAACGACGAAACUUCAAAGAGACUUCCCAAGAUUGAACUAAAGCUUCAGGCCACAGAUCAGAUUUCCAGAUGAUGCUGUGAUAAUUUCAUUCCCUAUUCCAGGGCACACUGAUUUAAUCCCCUCGGCAUCACCGUGGAAAAGAUUGUGGCGGCGUUUGAGGCAAAGGGAGGUUGGGAUGGUACAAUGGGAGACCAUAAGACUGACAUUUCUGCCGUGAGUGUGGAGGUUCCCUCUGAUCGCAGGUUGGUUGCAAAGAAUGGGGUUGGCCUACUUAGGGAAGCGACAUCAUCAUAUUGUGGAUCGAAGUUAUUGUACCGAGAUGAUGUUGACAGUGGUGGUGUUAUUCCAGUAACCCUAGACAGCAUUGGGAUAUAGUACUAUUUAGUUUGGGUGGAGGAUUACCAACAUUUUCCAAAAAUGGAUUCAGGCUUGCGUUUCUUGGCAAGGGCUUGAAGAUGUUUGGGUACUGCAAAUAGAAGAUAAGGUAUAUAAGAGGGAGUAUGGUGUAUGUAUCAAUGAUUUACAUCAUUGUUUGCUGAUAUACAAGUUUCUUUUUAGCUAUCUAGCUAGAGACCUGGUCUUCUCGCCAGUGAAGGGCCAAAAAACUUCCAUUUAAUGUAUUCAAAGGAAGACGACUACUCCAACAGCUCGCGUAUGGGUUUAAUAAUGCCUUACCAUCCAGUAGUCCUAUUGAGUCCAUUUAUCAAGUAAAUCAAUCACUUUAAUAUAUGUUAAUUUUGGUAGAAUUACCAUCAACUGCAUUUUAUCGGAAGUUAGAUAUGUAUAUUUUAAUAACAGAAUGAAUGGCAGGCGCAUCGCGCGUGCGUGUUAUACUAGUAUAUGCAAUAAAAAUGGGUUGAAUCACCAGUUACUCAA